AUGGUUUCUCCACCAGUGUGUCAUAAACACAUUACGUCUUGGAGUCCGUGCUGUAGCUGGCUACAAAUUUGCAGCCCGCUGCUUUUCUCUAUCUCCUUUUAUCUCUUUAAAAUAUGUUUAUAGCUGGCUUAUAGCCUGCUAUUGUACCUGCUCUGAGGGAUUAACUUAUAUGUACACGGAUCAUGCUAAUAUCUUAUAAGAGCAGGUACAAUAGUAGACUAUAAGUCAACUAUAAACAUAUUCUAAAGAGAUAAAGAAAGAGAGAGAAAAGCAGCGGGCUAUGAAUCUGUAGCCAGCUGCAGCGUGGACUCCAAGACGUAAUGUGUAUAUGACAGGUGGGACUAAAUAUU
Molecule: unclassified non-coding RNA, 350 nt
Filed under: Oryza sativa (Asian cultivated rice)
Lineage: Eukaryota; Viridiplantae; Streptophyta; Magnoliopsida; Poales; Poaceae
Description: partial microRNA MIR483a precursor
Source: RNAcentral